UGCACAAUUGCUGGAUUGUGUGGCAAAAAUAUAUUUAGUUUUGUAAGACAUUGCCCAACUGUUUUUCAAACUGGCUGUACCAUUUUGCAUUCCAACCAGCAAU
RNAcentral lists this microRNA precursor (103 nucleotides) under Marmota monax (woodchuck). Lineage: Eukaryota; Metazoa; Chordata; Mammalia; Rodentia; Sciuridae. The record is from RNAcentral.